Bactrocera oleae (olive fruit fly) is the source of this 1462-nucleotide long non-coding RNA. RefSeq lists it as uncharacterized. Lineage: Eukaryota; Metazoa; Arthropoda; Insecta; Diptera; Tephritidae. The record is from RefSeq and is a predicted model, not a curated record.
GUUGCACUCACUGUUGCUACUGCUGUAACAUUUCGGGCUUUAACGUGAAUUUAAUUGAUAGCAAACACACACCCAUCAGCAAGUUUUGCUUUUGUUUUUGUUAGGCUUUUAUUGUAUUUGUUAUCUCGCAUGUUUGCUUUUAGUGUUAUUGAAAUGUUGGAAAAAACAACAUGUGACACCCAUACGUAAAUACACGGCAUAAUCAUAUGUAUGUGUGUUCAUUGCAGGAAAGUCUUUUGGCCGAGUUGUUUUUCUGUUCUGUUUCUCUCGACUUUCAGCGUGUUGUGUAUAAUUCACAUUAAUGUUUGCUUGUAAACUUGUGUAACGUUUUUUUUAUGUGUCUGUAUGUGUUUAUUAUGUACAUGUGCCAUUUACAUUUCAGCUGUAUAAAAUUACCAUAGGUUUAUAAGAAAAGAGCUAAUUUCGCUGGUAAACAUUUUUCACCGGAUAUGUGCAUGUCAAAGCGUUGCUCUGCGACUUUCUGCGCCGCUUCAUGGUAAUGUAAAUUUAGUCGAACUAUUAUUAGUACCAGCUAUUGACCUGUGUUGGUCUUUCAGCGUAGUUUGAGGCACAUGUAGGAAUAUCUAUCGACAUAAAUAACUAAUUGUUUUUACACUAAAUUCAUAGUUCGACAAAAGUAUGGCAUAUAUUUGCUAUCACCCCCAAAUUUAUUAAAGUUACUGAAAGUCACCGAAAUCCUACAACUCUGGCGCAAAAACGUUAAGAAGUAUGGCAACAUGCCACUCACUGUCGAAACAAAUACUCUUGAUGUGCUUAUAACUCUACUUAUUGACAAAUAUGCGCUUACAGUAAACAGUUUUUCAUAAUUGUAGCUGACAUCUCGCUGCCAAUAUUGCAUUAAUAUUACAUCAAUAUUACAUUUUACAACGCCAAACUUCAUCCAAGAGUUAUAAUUUCCCUUAAGAGGCCAUUGCGAAAUGCGUGUUCGGUAUGUUCUAUACACUCUGUAUAUGUCGCACUGAAGUGAGCAUCCCAAAACAGAAAAGGUGGUGGCUGCCGCCAGUGAUUUGGUCGCUUGAGUACAUCUGCAGUAGAAAAAUCAAAAGGAUUAUUAUUCUGUGAGCUUGUCAUUCUGGUUGGAUUAAACAAUUUUGUUGACAAAUAAAACAAAUGGUUGAUUUUGAAAAAAAGAGUGAAAUUUUUUAAAGUCGAAAUUCGGCUAUAAAAUGGAAAGUUCGCGAUAAAAAACAGAGAUACUAGUUCUUGCGAGAGCCAUUGAUGAGUACAAUAACAUAUUCAAAUUUCAGCUCAGUUGGAUCAAAAAUUUUGUUUCAUCCGGGUAGACCGUAAGAACGUUGUUUCGAGAAAAACGCGUUCUAAGUUUCAACAACAAAUUAAAUAUGUGUCAUAUAAUAAUAUUAUUAUUAUAGAUAAAUCAUACUACAUACGAAUCGUGUACCCCUAUAUUAAACGUAUAAUAAACCAUCAACUUCUUCAUAGG